UAGGGGAUGAUGGAAUUCCUAGUGUAGAGGUGAAAUUCUUAGAUAUUAGGAGGAACACCGGUGGCGAAGGCGAUCAUCUGGGCUACAACUGACGCUGAUGCACGAAAGCGUGGGGAGCAAACAGGAUUAGAUACCCUGGUAGUCCACGCCGUAAACGAUGAGUGCUAGAUAUCGGAAGAUUCUCUUUCGGUUUCGCAGCUAACGCAUUAAGCACUCCGCCUGGGGAGUACGGUCGCAAGAUUAAAACUCAAAGGAAUUGACGGGGG
This 266-nucleotide ribosomal RNA is filed under the name Rickettsia conorii subsp. raoultii. RNAcentral's name for it is "partial 16S ribosomal RNA". It matches the Rfam family "Bacterial small subunit ribosomal RNA", at positions 652 to 919 of the family's 1533-position model. Lineage: Bacteria; Pseudomonadati; Pseudomonadota; Alphaproteobacteria; Rickettsiales; Rickettsiaceae. The record is from RNAcentral.